This 433-nucleotide ribosomal RNA is filed under the name uncultured bacterium. Its description in RNAcentral is "partial 16S ribosomal RNA". It matches the Rfam family "Bacterial small subunit ribosomal RNA", at positions 29 to 507 of the family's 1533-position model. The record is from RNAcentral.
AGCGAACGCUGGCGGCAGGCCUAACACAUGCAAGUCGAACGAACUCUUCGGAGUUAGUGGCGGACGGGUGAGUAACACGUGGGAACGUGCCUUUUGGUUCGGCAUAACUCAGGGAAACUUGUGCUAAUACCGAAUGUGCCCUUCGGGGGAAAGAUUUAUCGCCAUUAGAGCGGCCCGCGUCUGAUUAGCUAGUUGGUGAGGUAACGGCUCACCAAGGCGACGAUCAGUAGCUGGUCUGAGAGGAUGACCAGCCACACUGGGACUGAGACACGGCCCAGACUCCUACGGGAGGCAGCAGUGGGGAAUCUUGCGCAAUGGGCGAAAGCCUGACGCAGCCAUGCCGGGUGAAUGAUGAAGGUCUUAGGAUUGUAAAAUUCUUUCACCGGGGACGAUAAUGACGGUACCCGGAGAAGAAGCCCCGGCUAACUUCGUG